GUUGAAACACAGGUCACCGUACGAUCACCGAAGUGAAGCAAGGUCGAGCCUGGUCAGUAACUAGAUGGGUAACCGUUUGGGAAUACCAAGAUUUGUCA
Molecule: non-coding RNA, 98 nt
Organism: Acanthosepion pharaonis
Lineage: Eukaryota; Metazoa; Mollusca; Cephalopoda; Sepiida; Sepiidae
Source: the annotation of a GenBank genome assembly